RNAcentral lists this ribosomal RNA (497 nucleotides) under uncultured bacterium. Its description in RNAcentral is "partial 16S ribosomal RNA". It matches the Rfam family "Bacterial small subunit ribosomal RNA", at positions 28 to 507 of the family's 1533-position model. The record is from RNAcentral.
GAUGAACGCUGGCGGCGUGCCUAAUACAUGCAAGUCGAGCGAACGGACGAGAAGCUUGCUUCUCUGAUGUUAGCGGCGGACGGGUGAGUAACACGUGGAUAACCUACCUAUAAGACUGGGAUAACUUCGGGAAACCGGAGCUAAUACCGGAUAAUAUUUUGAACCGCAUGGUUCAAAAGUGAAAGACGGUCUUGCUGUCACUUAUAGAUGGAUCCGCGCUGCAUUGGCUAGUUGGUAAGGUAACGGCUUACCAAGGCAACGAUGCAUAGCCGACCUGAGAGGGUGAUCGGCCACACUGGAACUGAGACACGGUCCAGACUCCUACGGGAGGCAGCAGUAGGGAAUCUUCCGCAAUGGGCGAAAGCCUGACGGAGCAACGCCGCGUGAGUGAUGAAGGUCUUCGGAUCGUAAAACUCUGCUAUUAGGGAAGAACAUAUGUGUAAGUAACUGUGCACAUCUUGACGGUACCUAAUCAGAAAGCCACGGCUAACUACGUG